Long non-coding RNA from Rosa rugosa (rugosa rose), 2313 nucleotides. RefSeq lists it as uncharacterized. Lineage: Eukaryota; Viridiplantae; Streptophyta; Magnoliopsida; Rosales; Rosaceae. The record is from RefSeq and is a predicted model, not a curated record. The transcript has 3 exons.
ACUUUCGUUCAUUCAUCCAAUAUCUUUAAACCCUAUCUGUUUUCCACCAGAUUUGAAUCAAACCCAGCUGGCCUCUAUCUCUUACGAAUCCUCUCUCAAAUCUGAAACUCUCUCUCCUUCCAAACCAGAUUCCAUUCGUAAAUGGAUGAAAGGAUUGGGCUUUGAGCCUAGAGAUAAAGAAAAGGGAAAAGGCGAGAGGAGAGCUGAUCUUCUAGUUGUACAGUAAAGGGGUUCGAGCCAAUCGCCAAUUCGAAAACUUGGUCUAAACCCAGAUCUCGCAGUUGGAGCAUGAGUCUCUAGGCUGUGUUUCGCCUCAAUUGCGGAGUAAAGGCGAGCGAUAGCAUCGUCGCCGGAGACGUUGGAUCGGUCGUACUUGUUGCAGAUCGCCUCGACUCUUGUCAGAAGUUCGAUGAAGCUAUCUUAAAUCCAACUCUACCUCGCUAGGUUCCAAUUACAGAGUUGAAGGAAGUGAGAAAUAAGGAGGGAGAAGUUGGAUUUCUGGGUUUGGUCUUCUUCUUCGGUCGUCUUCCUCCAUUUUUCAAUGUGUGUGCGCGGGGUUGGGCAACCAGAAAGGAAAGCGGCUUCAAAGAAGCAACAGUGUGUGUGAGCUUCAAAAUAAUGAAAUUAAUGGAUUUUUGAUUCCAACAAUAUCCAAGUCAUGUGUACUCGGAUCAUUUUUUUUCAGAUGUAUAUAUAGUGGUCUGGGAGGUGGAUUAAUGUGACGAGGGUUGGUGAUAAACAGAAGCUUGGGAUUUAUAUUGUUGAGAGCGAUUAGUUUGACAUGAUUGAAUAUAACUACAGUGUAGUUAUUGGGUUAAUUUUGUUAUUUUGGUUAGAAUCUAGUUUGGGUUGAUGAUUAUCCUGGGUGAAAAAGAUGUCAAAACACAAAAAAAACCACCGUCUUCUUUUUCACUCUGAUCUCAUGCCUUUUAAGAUUAUGUACGUAUUUAGUUUCUGAUUUAGCUCAUUCCCUGGAGCCCCGAAACUACAUGUGCUAACCGGGGGUUUUUGUUGAGCUUGGUAUUGGAGCUUCUAGGUGUUCUUUGAAGCUUUGGAAUGGUUUGGCUUGGUGGGUAUGUGGCCAAGUACAUGUAUUUCGUUUGGUAGUGAUCUAGUGGAGAUUAGGGAUGGUAGUCGUGAUUUGGUGAAGGGUGAUUGUCGGCGGAUAGAUUGAAGGGUUUUCUGAGAUGUUAGGGCGGAGAUUAAAGUGUGGGAAUCGGAAUGGUGGUAUCGGGGACGGAGUUGCAGAAGGAGUGGAGGGAGGGAGGGAGGGAGGGAGAGUGAUAUGCUGUGUGUGGUAUAUGGUUUGUGUUUUGGAGACUUUCACUUUUGGCCCUUGGAUUGAUGUUAGAUGACGUGUCAGCUUGGUAGUGAAGUCCAAGCAGAUUCUAGCACAACUUGUUAUAGCAGAGAAGCCGAGUCCGGAGGAGGAGGAGGAGGAGAAACUUCCUCAGUCUAAUUUGGAGAAGGGAACACGUCCCAGUACUCUCUAUAAAUCCUCCGUUUAACUCUGCUUCAACACCGAGUUCUUCACAUGUUCUUGAUUUUCAGCGUAGAAUCUGAUUCAUACUUUUCUUGCGACAACUCGUCGAUCAAUUGGCGUAUAGAGAUCUUGUGACUCAUCCUCUGACCACCGCUUCAAGUAACAAAGAGAAUACGAGAUAUCAAAAAAGAGCAAAGUGGUGCGAGAGCAACAGGAUAGAGCAAUGCAGCAACUCUUGAUGAAGCGUCGUGGCCGUCCCCACCAACGACAACGCCGUCAGAACUCGUUUCCGGCGUCUCAGUGAGCCCAUGACUCUGUUCAGAGAACGGGAGAUUGAAGGCGAGACCAGCUGAGGACGAUUCUGGCCAAACUCGAUUCGGCGCAGCUGGAGAUGUGAUGCUAGGGUUCAUAUUGCCCACUACUCAGUGCCCAAGGCAACCUUGCGGCUUCAACGUGCGAGGAGGAAGGAGGAUGACCCUGAUCAGAGUCGGGGUUAAUUUGAGAAAUUUACUAACCAAGUGGUCCCCACCGAAGCUGUGUGACAUGCCACGUCAGCGGUUUAACGGUUCUAUAUCACGGAAUGACCUAUGAGAUUAUCAUGUCUAGGGGUGUUUUUGAUGAAAUUGGAAGUCCAGGGACUGAAUUGAUUUUGGACCCAAAUCACAAGGUAGUAACUAGUAUUUAGCCCUAGAUUGAAAUUGCCUAUAUACCAUUACGGAGUUAACGGCUUUAGAUACUUAUGUUGGGUCGGGGGCAAAACCAUAGAUACCAAGGUGAUAUUUUCUAAACUUAAGAUAUCAAAGUUACUAUAAUGGAUCAAAGGUUAGACA